UACGGGGGGGUAAGCGUUGUUCGGAAUUACUGGGCGUAAAGGGCUCGUAGGCGGCCAACUAAGUCAGACGUGAAAUCCCUCAGCUUAACUGGGGAACUGCGUCUGAUACUGGAUGGCUUGGAUUCGGGAGAGGAAUGCGGAAUUCCAGGUGUAGCGGUGAAAUGCGUAGAUAUCUGGAGGAACACCGGUGGCGAAGGCGGCAUCCUGGACCAAUUCUGACGCUGAGGAGCGAAAGCCAGGGGAGCAAACGGG
This 252-nucleotide ribosomal RNA is filed under the name uncultured bacterium. RNAcentral's name for it is "partial 16S ribosomal RNA". It matches the Rfam family "Bacterial small subunit ribosomal RNA", at positions 524 to 776 of the family's 1533-position model. The record is from RNAcentral.